CCUACGGGCGGCAGCAGUGAGGAAUAUUGGUCAAUGGCCGGAAGGCUGAACCAGCCAAGCCGCGUGAGGGAGGAAGGCGCAGAGCGUCGCAGACCUCUUUUGCCGGGGGACAAAAGGCCGGACUCGUCCGGUCCUGAGGGUACCCGGAGAAAAAGCAUCGGCUAACUCCGUGCCAGCAGCCGCGGUAAUACGGAAGGCCCGAGCGUUAUCCGGAUUCAUUGGGCUUAAAGGGAGCGUAGGCGGGCGUUCAAGUCAGCUGUAAAAUCGCGCGGCUCAACCGCGCCCCGCAGUUGAAACUGGACGCCUUGAGUUCACAACAGGCAGGCGGAAUUCGUGGUGUAGCGGUGAAAUGCAUAGAUAUCACGAGGAACCCCGAUUGCGAAGGCAGCCUGCCGGGGUGCGACUGACGCUGAGGCUCGAAGGUGCGGGUAUCAAACAGGAUUAGAUACCCCUGUAGUC
RNAcentral lists this ribosomal RNA (459 nucleotides) under uncultured bacterium. RNAcentral's name for it is "partial 16S ribosomal RNA". It matches the Rfam family "Bacterial small subunit ribosomal RNA", at positions 338 to 795 of the family's 1533-position model. The record is from RNAcentral.